Pogoniulus pusillus (Red-fronted tinkerbird) is the source of this 215-nucleotide long non-coding RNA. RefSeq lists it as uncharacterized. The transcript is spliced from 3 exons. The record is from RefSeq and is a predicted model, not a curated record. Lineage: Eukaryota; Metazoa; Chordata; Aves; Piciformes; Lybiidae.
GCAGCUCUUCCCUCUGCCUGGAAUAUCUUGUAUUUUACUCUGGGAUCAUUAUCAUGAGUUUGAAAGCAUCUUUGGUACAGGAGACUUACUCAGGGACCAAAAAGCAUUUAUUGAAGAUGACACCAUCUUCACAGCAAGAUGGAGCUGGCUUGUAACAAGGUCCCUGUGAGCUGCAGUUCCAGGUAUCAAAAUGAAGACACUUUAGUCCUUGUCUU